UAGGGAGCAAGCGUUGUCCGGAUUUACUGGGUGUAAAGGGUGCGUAGGCGGGUCGUCAAGUCAGGAGUGAAAUACAUGGGCUUAACCCAUGAACUGCUUUUGAAACUGACGAUCUUGAGUGAAGUAGAGGUAGGCGGAAUUCCCGGUGUAGCGGUGAAAUGCGUAGAGAUCGGGAGGAACACCAGUGGCGAAGGCGGCCUACUGGGCUUUAACUGACGCUGAGGCACGAAAGCGUGGGUAGCAAA
This 245-nucleotide ribosomal RNA is filed under the name uncultured bacterium. RNAcentral's name for it is "partial 16S ribosomal RNA". It matches the Rfam family "Bacterial small subunit ribosomal RNA", at positions 528 to 772 of the family's 1533-position model. The record is from RNAcentral.